This 964-nucleotide long non-coding RNA is filed under the name Ananas comosus (pineapple). RNAcentral's name for it is "long non-coding RNA (ACOM_LNC034252)". Lineage: Eukaryota; Viridiplantae; Streptophyta; Magnoliopsida; Poales; Bromeliaceae. The record is from RNAcentral.
UCCCAAAUUUACACUCUCUGGGCAUAAUAGAACAAUAUAAUUAGGUUUUACUCAUUGUUCGAUAGAAUGAGAAAAAGUACUCGUUGCAAAUUUAUACUGUUUGGGCGCAACUGAGUAUUGUAAUGUUGUUUCGGUUUUAAUUCUUGUGAACGUUGACAUGAAAUCGUUCCAAAUUUACACUCUCGGGACAUAAUAGAAAAAUAUAAUUAGGUUUUACUCUUUGUUCGAUAGAAUUAGAAAAAGUACUCGUUGCAAAGUUAUACUAUAAAGGUGCAACUGGGUAGUCUAAUGUUGUUCCGGUUUUUCUUCUUGUGAACGUUGACAUCGAUUCGUUCCAAAUUUACACUCUCUGGGCAUAAUAGAACAAUAUAAUUAGGUUUUACGCUUUGUUCGAUAGAAUGAGAAAAAGUACUCAUUGCAAAGUUAUACUGUUAGGGCGCAACUGAGUAGUCUAAUGUUGUUCCGGUUUUUGUUCUUGUGAACGUUGACAUCGAUUAGUUCCAAAUUCACAAUCUCAGGGCAUAAUAGAACAAUAUAAUUAGGUUUUACUCUUUGUUCGAUUGAAUGACAAAAAGUACUCGUUGCAAUGUUAAAUUGUUAGGACGCAACUGAGUAGUCUAAUGUUGUUCUGGUUUGGUUCUUGUGAACGUUAACAUCGAUUCGUUCCAAAUUUACACUCUCGGGGCAUAAUAGAACAAUAUAAUUAGGUUUUACUCUUUGUUCGAUUGAAUGAGAAAAAGUACUCGUUGCAAAGUUAUACUGUUAGGGCGCAACUGAGUAGUCUAAUGUUGUUCUGGUUUUGGUUCUUGUGAACGUUGACAUCGAUUCAAUCCAAAUUAACACUCUUGGGGUAUAAUAGAACAAUAUAAUUAGGUUUUACUCCUUGUUCGAUUUAAUGAGAAAAAGUACUCGUCGCAAAGUUAUACUGUUAGUGCGCAACUGAGUAGUCUAAUGUUGUUCCGGU